This 254-nucleotide ribosomal RNA is filed under the name uncultured bacterium. RNAcentral describes it as "partial 16S ribosomal RNA". It matches the Rfam family "Bacterial small subunit ribosomal RNA", at positions 524 to 776 of the family's 1533-position model. The record is from RNAcentral.
UACGGAGGGUGCGAGCGUUGUCCGGAAUCACUGGGCGUAAAGGGCGCGUAGGCGGCUCGGUAAGCGGGCGGUGAAAGCUCGGGGCUCAACCCCGAGUCGGCCGUGCGGACUGCCGUGGCUGGAGCACUGUAGAGGCAGGUAGAAUUCCGGGUGUAGCGGUGGAAUGCGUAGAGAUCCGGAAGAAUACCGGUGGCGAAGGCGGCCUGCUGGGCAGUUGCUGACGCUGAGGCGCGACAGCGUGGGGAGCAAACAGG